AAAAAGCUAAAGAAAAUAGGUCUUUCUUAUUUUGCCUUGGAGUUUAAGAGAAAUCUCCUCUCAGAUCUAUUAUGGGUUCUUCUUUUUAUUGAAAUUCAUGAUCUUAUUUGUUGAAACAUUGUCGUUUCUUUAAGAUUUCUUGUCGUGUUAUUAAUUAUUCAGUAAGCGAUCUAUUUGGCAUGAGAGAUACUUCCAUGGAGAGAUACAAGUUUUUCUCAUUUGGCGUUCUUGUUUGUCAGAAAGAUUUGUUAAGCUUCAAUUUUAGUUUCUCUAUGAAUGGAUCACUCCGUACCUUGUUCUUUAGAGAAACCUUCAGUUCAAUCUACAGUUGUGAGAGAUUGUGGUGUAAAGAAUUGAAAAGGUUAAUUACGCCAUUUCAUUUAAGUCUAUUUUCGUCAAUACGAAAAUUGUGGUGUAGAUAAAAUAAUUUUUGUAGUGGUAAUAUAAUUACCCAUUCACAAAUUAGGGAUUAAUUAUUUAAUUAACAUUUAUUAAACCCACAUCUCGCCAUUUCUCUCUCCUUAUCACAAAAAUCACAACUCACCAUUUUUCCCUCCAUCACAGAAAUAACUUCAAAAAUACCUGGCUCCGACAACAAAAACGAGAGGAAAAUUGACUCCGGUGGCCGCGUUUGUUAUNN
RNAcentral lists this long non-coding RNA (640 nucleotides) under Olea europaea (common olive). Its description in RNAcentral is "long non-coding RNA (OEUR_LNC011995)". Lineage: Eukaryota; Viridiplantae; Streptophyta; Magnoliopsida; Lamiales; Oleaceae. The record is from RNAcentral.